RNAcentral lists this long non-coding RNA (493 nucleotides) under Vulpes vulpes (red fox). Its description in RNAcentral is "lncRNA (ENSVVUG00000015128.1)". Lineage: Eukaryota; Metazoa; Chordata; Mammalia; Carnivora; Canidae. The record is from RNAcentral.
UCUCACAAUUGUCCCCUUUUCUUUUCUGCUCUCCUACCUUUCUCCUGACCAUAUUUUCUCCUUUUUUCUGCAGAGUCCUCCUAAAACCACCUGACAGUGUGGAUAUCCUCAGAGAAAGAAAGACUGUUCUUUUCCAGGGAACUAAGUAGCUGAAUUCUACCAGUAGAAUCAUUCAACCAUUAGAAUUAUUUCUGCUUGUUGUAGAAGAUACAGCUCAGAUCCAAAGCAGACUGAGGAAUUCAAGGAAGGCUUCUCUACAGCUCCAUCCAGGAGCAGCAGGAUCUUUCAUUGUGACGAUGGACUUGGGGAAAAGAGGCAAGACAUCAAGAGGCAGUGAGAACCUGCAAAAUAUUUCUUUGGGUAGGGUCAUGUGCUGGUGGAGGACAGAAACUAAAGGUGAUGGAAAUACAGUGCUUUAUUUAGUCUGAGGUGAUACCUAUCUGAUUUUACAGGCUGUAAACAUUAAAUAAAUAACUCCUCUGGCUCUUAAUCA